UACGUAGGUGACCAGCGUUGUCCGGAUUUACUGGGCGUAAAGGGCGCGUAGGCGGCCUGUUAAGUCGAACGUGAAAUCCCUGGGCUCAACCCAGGAACUGCGUCCGAUACUGGCAGGCUUGAAUCCGGGAGAGGGAUGCGGAAUUCCAGGUGUAGCGGUGAAAUGCGUAGAUAUCGGGAGGAACACCAGUGGCGAAGGCGGCGAUCUGGGAAGAUACUGACGCUGAGGUGCGAAAGCGUGGGGAGCAAACAGG
Molecule: ribosomal RNA, 253 nt
Filed under: uncultured bacterium
Lineage: Bacteria
Description: partial 16S ribosomal RNA
Rfam family: Bacterial small subunit ribosomal RNA
Source: RNAcentral